GCGACCCCAGGAUGGGCGAGGCCACCCGCUGAGUUUAAG
This 39-nucleotide ribosomal RNA is filed under the name Oncidium sphacelatum. Its description in RNAcentral is "partial 26S ribosomal RNA". Lineage: Eukaryota; Viridiplantae; Streptophyta; Magnoliopsida; Asparagales; Orchidaceae. The record is from RNAcentral. RNAcentral also lists the same sequence under 162 other names.